Molecule: long non-coding RNA, 2192 nt
Filed under: Gossypium barbadense (sea-island cotton)
Lineage: Eukaryota; Viridiplantae; Streptophyta; Magnoliopsida; Malvales; Malvaceae
Description: long non-coding RNA (GBAR_LNC008694)
Source: RNAcentral
GCAUCUCUCCGUUGCUAAUCGCUUCUUUUCUCUCUUUUUUUUAAAAAAUUGUUGCUUGAUAAACAAAGAGACCAUAUUUUGAAACAAAAAUGGCACGCCAACUUGUUGUUCUUGCUUUGGUUUUGGUUUUGAUUUUUCUCGCCGGAAUCGUUUCUACCGACGCCUCAUCCGCCAGUGGCAGCCCUGCAAGUGCACCAGCUGGAGCUUCUACAGUUGGCAGUACCGCUAGUUCCUCCCCUACUUCUCAGGCUACCAAUCCAGGUCUUAGCGAUGGUAUCCCUAUUGAUGACCCAUAGAAUGAUUGUCAACGAAAUGUCGAUAAAUCAUUAAACAAAUUGCAAUUUAAAAGAAUGGUGAGGUUUUGGAAAAUAAAUAAUUAGUUCUAUAAAUAGAAUGUUAUGUUUUUCAUUAAGUUUAUGAACUGAUUUUCAUAUAUCUCAUUUCUCUUACAACAUUAUACUCUUAACAAAUCUACUAAAACGAGUAGAUUGGUGAACUGUGUUUUUGUUUUUUUGUGAAUUAUGAGAGGAUGGUAAAGCCAUAACAACGACACAACUAAUGCAAUUUGAAUUUAGGCCAUAUCUAGAGCGGUGAAUACCUUAACCAUAAGUCAACACACUUAAUUUGAUGAACUUUGUUUUAAGUAUUAAUUAUAAUAGUAGUUAAAGCAUUAAUUGAGUAAAUAAAGAAAGAAGCCAUCAGUGUUUGGCAAUGGCAGUUGGAAUUUGGUAUUUGUAAUGGUCCCAUUAUGUAAUAAUUUUUAUAUUAAGAAAAAAAACAUAUAAAUAACGAGAUCUGGCCAAACUACUAAUAAAUAAUAAAGAAUAUAUCACUACCAAACUUUAAAUAAUGUUGAUCUUCUCACCCCAGCAGUAGCCAAGGUUGUAGCCAUGCCAUUGUAUUUCAUAAAAACCAAUGUGAAUUUAACACAAACCAGUGGUGUCACAACUCCAUACCGCUUCCUUAAACUCCUCCAACGUGAAAGAUUACUCGAGUUUAACAGCAUCUUUCUCAAAUAUUUUCUUAAACUUCAAAUCCAUAUCCAUGAUCCAUUUUCACAAUCAGCAGCUAAAGUGAUUACUGAACGAUUUGAACAUUUUUCCUUUAACAACUUUGUGUCAUUGCACCACGAGAAAUUAUUGUUUCCUUUCUCUUUUUUUCGGUUUUACUCUAUAUCUAGUUUUUAAUUUUAAAACUUAUACAACAACAUUUUACUCUCCUCUAAAAUGUCACAUCACAUUUUACAAGCCAUUUAAUAGUUAAAUUAAGGGCUUGUAUAAUGGCAAUGCUUGAUUGAUUUCAUAUAGGUAGCUUUGAGAUGUAAUUAGAAUGUUUUGAAAUUUGGGUCGACUUUAAAAUGGGAGACAUUGUUUGAGGAUGUGUAGUGCAAUUAACAGAAAAUUUUAAGAAUAAUUUAUGAAAGGAGAUAUAUAUCAAAUUUAUACAUAAACUUUGGUCCAAUGUGCAAUUUGUUACAUCAACUUUAAUUAUACACCUAGACCUCGAUAUGUGGUUCUAAUAUAUAAAUGAAAGUUUGAUUUUGAUUCAAUUAUACGUAUUUAAAAAAAGAAUACAUACAUUUAUUUUCAUAUGUAUGCCAUUACACAUUAGAUCAAAAUAAAUGUAUUAUUUGAUAUUUACACCAUUAGUAAUGAUAUAAAAUGAAAUCAGUUUAAUCUAUUUUUGGCCAUUCUAAUAAUUAACAUUCACCAAUCCCAAUUUUCAAUAAUUAUAGGAUUGCCGAACUUAAAAAUAGUAUGAUUAGUGGCUAAGUUUAAAAUUAAAAGAAAAUUAAUUGCCCUUAUAUUCGGUAAUUUACUAGUAUUAAUACGCUAAUCAUGAUAACAAACAUAUUGCAUCUCUCCAUUGCUAAUCACUUCUUUUGUCUAUUUUUUUUAAACACAGAGACCACAUUUUGAAACAAAAAUGGCAUGCCAACUUGUUGUUCUUGCUUUGGUUUUGAUUUUUCUCGCCGGUGUCGUUUCUACCGACGCUUCAUCUGCCAGUGGCAGCACUGCAAGUGCACCAGCUGGAGCUUCUACAGUUGGCAGUACUGCUAGUUCCUCCCCUACUUCUCAGGCUACCAAUCCAGGUCUUAGCGAUGGUAUCCCUAUUGAUGACCCAUAGAAUGAUUGUCAACGAAAUGUCAAUAAAUCAUUAAACAAAUUACAAUUUAAAAGAAUGGUGAGGUU